UUCCGGUUGAUCCCGCCGGAGGUUACUGCUAUCGAGGUUCGACUAAGCCAUGCGAGUCGAAUGUAGCAAUACAUGGCGUACUGCUCAGUAACACGUGGACAACCUGCCCUUAGGUCGGGAAUAAACCCGGGAAACUGGGUAUAAUACCCGAUAGGUCUCGGCUGCUGGAAUGCACCGAGAUUGAAAGCUCCGGCGCCUAAGGAUGGGUCUGCGGCCUAUCAGGUAGUAGUGGGUGUAGCGUACCUACUAGCCUACGACGGGUACGGGUUGUGAGAGCAAGAGCCCGGAGAUGGAUUCUGAGACACGAAUCCAGGCCCUACGGGGUGCAGCAGGCGCGAAAACUUUACAAUGCUGGCAACAGCGAUAAGGGAACCUCGAGUGCCAGGUUACAAAUCUGGCUGUCGAGAUGCCUAAAAAGCAUUUCAUAGCAAGGGCCGGGCAAGACCGGUG
Molecule: ribosomal RNA, 450 nt
Filed under: bacterium enrichment culture clone F10 1.694-A7
Lineage: Bacteria
Description: bacterial SSU rRNA
Rfam family: Archaeal small subunit ribosomal RNA
Source: RNAcentral